ACAACAACCCUAUACAUUUUGUUAACCUACAAAGUGGGGAAAUGAAGAUAAUAGUAAUACCCGACUUAUCGGGUAGUUCUGGUGGUCAAAAAAGAAAUAAUGCAAGUAUUUAGCCCAGUGCUUAGCACUUAAUGCUUGUCCAUUAAAUGCUAGCUGUGAUCAUUAUUACUGAUGGUACUAACCUGUGUAUUAGUGUUUCUCUGGUUGCUCAUUGCAGACAUUUACCUCCUACCAGAUUUAGCAAAGAAACAUAAGAGGAAAUUAUCAGAAGCAUCUUAAGCUUGCACAAUCAAAGGAAGAGCUAAACAGCUGAGCCCCAGGGCUGUCUCUUCUCCACAAGGGUUAAAACUCAGAGGUGUGAAAGAGCUUUGUGGACUAAAGAAACUAAUGACUUGGUUUUGCAUGACCAUACAGCCAGAUCAGAGCCCUCUCAGCACACUAAGUGGAAGAAGCUCCUUGGCAUGUAUGGGAAUAAAUCUGACAACCUAUCUGGACUAAGGCAUCACUCAAGCUAUCGCUAUAGAGAAAGAAAGAUGGUCACAGAUUCAGGGCAUAGAGACAAGAAAUGAAAUAAGGAUAAAAGUGGAUGUCGCUCAUGAUGAAUCCUGGUUUCCAACCCAAUUGGCUUUUUCACAGAACAAGUGAUAAAAAGGGCAGAAUUCAAUCUUUGAAGAGCUCCCCCAUCCUGAACCCCUUUCCAGACAAAGGAGGGAAACCCCAGACCUCCAUUGCCAACUGUGGUUAUCUCCAUCCAAAUCAUCACUUCCUGAACGGUAAGUUGGAUAGUAGAGGUUUGCCUUUGUUUGUUUGGGUUCCUCAACAGUCCAUUUUCUGUCCGAAAGUCCCAGCACUCCAA
This 856-nucleotide long non-coding RNA is filed under the name Callithrix jacchus (white-tufted-ear marmoset). RNAcentral's name for it is "lncRNA (ENSCJAG00000077762.1)". The record is from RNAcentral. Lineage: Eukaryota; Metazoa; Chordata; Mammalia; Primates; Cebidae.